AAUAUUGGACAAUGGGGGCAACCCUGAUCCAGCCAUGCCGCGUGUGUGAAGAAGGUCUUCGGGUCGUAAAACUCUGUCAUUGGGGAAGAAGGACGUGACGGUACCCGAUGAGGAAGCCCCGGCUAACUACGUGCCAGCAGCCGCGGUAAUACGUAGGUGGCAAGCGUUGUCCGGAUUUAUUGGGCGUAAAGCGAGCGCAGGCGGUCUUUUAAGUCUGAUGUGAAAGCCCUCGGCUCAACCGAGGAAGGUCAUUGGAAACUGGAGGACUUGAGUGCAGAAGAGGAGAGUGGAAUUCCAUGUGUAGCGGUGAAAUGCGUAGAUAUAUGGAGGAACACCAGUGGCGAAGGCGACUCUCUGGUCUGUAACUGACGCUGAGGCUCGAAAGCGUGGGGAGCAAAC
This 399-nucleotide ribosomal RNA is filed under the name uncultured bacterium. RNAcentral describes it as "partial 16S ribosomal RNA". It matches the Rfam family "Bacterial small subunit ribosomal RNA", at positions 360 to 773 of the family's 1533-position model. The record is from RNAcentral.